ACGCACGCUGGCGGCGUGCCUAAUCCAUGCAAGUUGAGCGCUGAAGGUUGGUACUUGUACCAACUGGAUGAGCAGCGAACGGGUGAGUACCGCGUGGGGAAUCUGCCUUUGAGCGGGGGACAACAUUUGGAAACGAAUGCUAAUACCGCAUAAAAACUUUAAACACAAGUUUUAAGUUUGAAAGAUGCAAUUGCAUCACUCAAAGAUGAUCCCGCGUUGUAUUAGCUAGUUGGUGAGGUAAAGGCUCACCAAGGCGAUGAUACAUAGCCGACCUGAGAGGGUGAUCGGCCACAUUGGGACUGAGACACGGCCCAAACGCCUACGGGAGGCAGCAGUAGGGAAUCUUCGGCAAUGGACGAAAGUCUGACCGAGCAACGCCGCGUGAGUGAAGAAGGUUUUCGGAUCGUAAAACUCUGUUGGUAGAGAAGAACGUUGGUGAGAGUGGAAAGCUCAUCAAGUGACGGUAACUACCCAGAAAGGGACGGCUAACUACGUG
Molecule: ribosomal RNA, 496 nt
Filed under: uncultured bacterium
Lineage: Bacteria
Description: partial 16S ribosomal RNA
Rfam family: Bacterial small subunit ribosomal RNA
Source: RNAcentral